UGGGGAAUAUUGGGCAAUGGGGGCAACCCUGACCCAGCAACGCCGCGUGAAGGAAGAAGGCUUUCGGGUUGUAAACUUCUUUUACCAGGGACGAAGACGUGACGGUACCUGGAGAAUAAGCCACGGCUAACUACGUGCCAGCAGCCGCGGUAAUACGUAGGUGGCAAGCGUUGUCCGGAUUUACUGGGUGUAAAGGGCGCGUAGGCGGGAUAGCAAGUCAGGAGUGAAAUCUAUGGGCUUAACCCAUAAACUGCUUUUGAAACUGUUAUUCUUGAGUAUCGGAGAGGCAGGCGGAAUUCCUAGUGUAGCGGUGAAAUGCGUAGAUAUUAGGAGGAACACCAGUGGCGAAGGCGGCCUGCUGGACGACAACUGACGCUGAGGCGCGAAAGCGUGGGGAGCAAACAGG
Molecule: ribosomal RNA, 406 nt
Filed under: uncultured bacterium
Lineage: Bacteria
Description: bacterial SSU rRNA
Rfam family: Bacterial small subunit ribosomal RNA
Source: RNAcentral